UCCAUUGGCGCGCGUCCACUCCACUUCAUGGGCGGCGUACAUUUCAAAAGGAGGAUCAGCCACCUGUUGGACUCACGGUGCGGCAGCGUGGAGACCUGCCGUAAUGCGGAGCGUUCCUUUGCGGACGCCUGCGAGGCGAUCGUGCGUGGGCAGGGGUCGUCAGAGUCAAGCUUAUGUCU
This 179-nucleotide non-coding RNA is filed under the name unclassified sequences. RNAcentral's name for it is "malK-I RNA". It matches the Rfam family "malK-I RNA". The record is from RNAcentral.